This 391-nucleotide unclassified non-coding RNA is filed under the name soil metagenome. RNAcentral's name for it is "partial contains 5.8S ribosomal RNA, internal transcribed spacer 2, and large subunit ribosomal RNA". The stretch from base 1 to 122 matches the Rfam family "5.8S ribosomal RNA", at positions 35 to 154 of the family's 154-position model. The record is from RNAcentral.
GAUGAAGAACGUAGCGAAAUGCGAUACUUGGUGUGAAUUGCAGAAUCCCGUGAACCAUCGAGUCUUUGAACGCAAGUUGCGCCCGAAGCCAUUAGGCCUAGGGCACGCCUGCCUGGGCGUCACACGUCGUUGCCCCCCCAUCUACUCCUUCGGGAUUGCGGGGGGCGGAUGAUGGCCUCUCGUGCGCCUCGUCGCGCGGUUGGCCUAAAUGCCAAGUCCUCGGCGACGCACGCCACGACAAUCGGUGGUUGCGAAACCUCGGUUGCCUGUCGUGUGCGGUCGUCGCGCAUCGAGGGCUCGAAAAAAUUGCCGGGCUUCGGCUCGACUUUCAACGCGACCCCAGGUCAGGCGGGGUUACCCGCUGAAUUUAAGCAUAUCAAUAAGCGGAGGA